Molecule: ribosomal RNA, 481 nt
Filed under: Dietzia maris
Lineage: Bacteria; Bacillati; Actinomycetota; Actinomycetes; Mycobacteriales; Dietziaceae
Description: bacterial SSU rRNA
Rfam family: Bacterial small subunit ribosomal RNA
Source: RNAcentral
CUGAUGCAGCGACGCCGCGUGGGGGAUGACGGUCUUCGGAUUGUAAACCCCUUUCAGUAGGGACGAAGCGCAAGUGACGGUACCUGCAGAAGAAGCACCGGCUAACUACGUGCCAGCAGCCGCGGUAAUACGUAGGGUGCGAGCGUUGUCCGGAAUUACUGGGCGUAAAGAGCUCGUAGGCGGUUUGUCACGUCGUCUGUGAAAUCCCUCGGCUUAACCGGGGGCGUGCAGGCGAUACGGGCAGACUUGAGUACUACAGGGGAGACUGGAAUUCCUGGUGUAGCGGUGAAAUGCGCAGAUAUCAGGAGGAACACCGGUGGCGAAGGCGGGUCUCUGGGUAGUAACUGACGCUGAGGAGCGAAAGCAUGGGUAGCGAACAGGAUUAGAUACCCUGGUAGUCCAUGCCGUAAACGGUGGGCGCUAGGUGUGGGGUCCUUCCACGGACUCCGUGCCGUAGCUAACGCAUUAAGCGCCCCGCCUG